RNAcentral lists this ribosomal RNA (440 nucleotides) under uncultured bacterium. Its description in RNAcentral is "partial 16S ribosomal RNA". It matches the Rfam family "Bacterial small subunit ribosomal RNA", at positions 338 to 795 of the family's 1533-position model. The record is from RNAcentral.
CCUACGGGAGGCAGCAGUGGGGAAUAUUGCACAAUGGGGGCAACCCUGCUGCCGCGACGCCGCGUGAGUGCAGAAGUACUUCGUUAUGUAAAGCUCUAUCAGCAGGGAAGAAAAUGACGGUACCUGAGUAAGAAGCCCCGGCUAACUACGUGCCAGCAGCCGCGGUAAUAUGUAGGGGGCAAGCGUUAUCCGGCGUUACUGGGUUUAAAGGGAGCGUAGACGGCAGUGCAAGUCUGGAGUGAAAGGCGGGGGCUCAACCCCAGGACUGCUCUGGAAACUGUACGGCUGGAGUGCAGUAGAGGUAAGUGGAAUUCCGAGUGUAGCGGGGAAAUGCUUAGAGAUUAGGAGGAACACCAGUGGCGAAGGCGGCUGACUGGACUGUAACCGACGUUGAGGCUCGAAAGCGUGGGGAGCAAACAGGAUUAGAUACCCCGGUAGUC